Small nucleolar RNA from Callithrix jacchus (white-tufted-ear marmoset), 77 nucleotides. Its record names the gene U3. It matches the Rfam family "Small nucleolar RNA U3". From Rfam's summary of the family: Small nucleolar RNAs (snoRNAs) are involved in the processing and modification of rRNA in the nucleolus. The record is from Ensembl. NCBI's taxonomy places the organism in Eukaryota, Metazoa, Chordata, Mammalia, Primates, Cebidae.
AAGACUAUACUUUCAGGGACCAUUUCUAUAGUUUGUUACUAAAGAAGUUCCUCUGAAUGUGUAGACUACCAUAAAAU